AGGCACAGUAGAAAAACUUAAUAUCAUUGGAGAAGUCGAGUACUCGUCGAAAACUGAGGAAAGGUUCGAAACGCUCCAAAAAGGAUAUGUGAUGAGCAAGGUAAAAUGGAGCAUGAUCACAUAAACCAAAUUGAGGUGAAAAUUAUGUUCGAAGAUGAUAGACAGAUGCAAUUCUGCAAACAAGGCAGCAUGGCAAUUGAGGUCGCAGCGCUGAAGGGACCACCGCCGCAGUGCUGUAAGGUUAUGGCUGUGGUGCUGGCCUGGAUGGGUGCAUCAUACUAAAGGUUGAGAGCACGGCACCGCAACAUUGCAAAAGCUUGUUACAGUGCUAUAGCACCAUCUUGAUUUCCAAAAUUAAGCUUUUGACAAAAAAUUGGAAAGUAGGGCACCUUGCACAUAUUUAAGAGCCUUUUUUAGAGCAUUCAGAGAGAGAGACGACAAUAGCUUUUCUAGAGAAUUGGAGCUACGAAUCAAUCAAGAA
Theobroma cacao (cacao) is the source of this 481-nucleotide non-coding RNA. The record is from RefSeq and is a predicted model, not a curated record. NCBI's taxonomy places the organism in Eukaryota, Viridiplantae, Streptophyta, Magnoliopsida, Malvales, Malvaceae.